GGGUUGUGAGGUUAAGCGACUAAGCGUACACGGUGGAUGCCCUGGCAGUCAGAGGCGAUGAAGGACGUGCUAAUCUGCGAAAAGCGUCGGUAAGGUGAUAUGAACCGUUAUAACCGGCGAUGUCCGAAUGGGGAAACCCAGUGUGAUUCGUCACACUAUCGUUAACUGAAUACAUAGGUUAACGAGGCGAACCGGGGGAACUGAAACAUCUAAGUACCCCGAGGAAAAGAAAUCAACCGAGAUUCCCCCAGUAGCGGCGAGCGAACGGGGAGCAGCCCAGAGUCUGAAUCAGCUUGUGUGUUAGUGGAACGGUCUGGAAAGUCCGACGGUACAGGGUGAUAGUCCCGUACACCAAAAUGCACAGGUUGUGAACUCGAAGAGUAGGGCGGGACACGUGGUAUCCUGUCUGAAUAUGGGGGGACCAUCCUCCAAGGCUAAAUACUCCUGACUGACCGAUAGUGAACCAGUACCGUGAGGGAAAGGCGAAAAGAACCCCGGCGAGGGGAGUGAAAAAGAACCUGAAACCGUGUACGUACAAGCAGUGGGAGCACCUUCGGGUGUGACUGCGUACCUUUUGUAUAAUGGGUCAGCGACUUAUAUUCUGUAGCAAGGUUAACCGUAUAGGGGAGCCGCAGGGAAACCGAGUCUUAACUGGGCGUUAAGUUGCAGGGUAUAGACCCGAAACCCGGUGAUCUAGCCAUGGGCAGGUUGAAGGUUGGGUAACACUAACUGGAGGACCGAACCGACUAAUGUUGAAAAAUUAGCGGAUGACUUGUGGCUGGGGGUGAAAGGCCAAUCAAACCGGGAGAUAGCUGGUUCUCCCCGAAAGCUAUUUAGGUAGCGCCUCGUGAACUCAUCUUCGGGGGUAGAGCACUGUUUCGGCUAGGGGGUCAUCCCGACUUACCAACCCGAUGCAAACUACGAAUACCGAAGAAUGUUAUCACGGGAGACACACGGCGGGUGCUAACGUCCGUCGUGAAGAGGGAAACAACCCAGACCGCCAGCUAAGGUCCCAAAGUCAUGGUUAAGUGGGAAACGAUGUGGGAAGGCACAGACAGCCAGGAUGUUGGCUUAGAAGCAGCCAUCAUUUAAAGAAAGCGUAAUAGCUCACUGGUCGAGUCGGCCUGCGCGGAAGAUGUAACGGGGCUAAACCAUGCACCGAAGCUGCGGCAGCGACACUAUGUGUUGUUGGGUAGGGGAGCGUUCUGUAAGCCUGCGAAGGUGACCUGUGAGGGUUGCUGGAGGUAUCAGAAGUGCGAAUGCUGACAUAAGUAACGAUAAAGCGGGUGAAAAGCCCGCUCGCCGGAAGACCAAGGGUUCCUGUCCAACGUUAAUCGGGGCAGGGUGAGUCGACCCCUAAGGCGAGGCCGAAAGGCGUAGUCGAUGGGAAACAGGUUAAUAUUCCUGUACUUGGUGUUACUGCGAAGGGGGGACGGAGAAGGCUAUGUUAGCCGGGCGACGGUUGUCCCGGUUUAAGCAUGUAGGCUGGUUGUCCAGGCAAAUCCGGAUAAUCAAGGCUGAGGUGUGAUGACGAGGCACUACGGUGCUGAAGUAACAAAUGCCCUGCUUCCAGGAAAAGCCUCUAAGCAUCAGGUAACAUCAAAUCGUACCCCAAACCGACACAGGUGGUCAGGUAGAGAAUACCAAGGCGCUUGAGAGAACUCGGGUGAAGGAACUAGGCAAAAUGGUGCCGUAACUUCGGGAGAAGGCACGCUGGUGUGUAGGUGAAGUCCCUGCGGAUGGAGCUGAGACCAGUCGAAGAUACCAGCUGGCUGCAACUGUUUAUUAAAAACACAGCACUGUGCAAACACGAAAGUGGACGUAUACGGUGUGACGCCUGCCCGGUGCCGGAAGGUUAAUUGAUGGGGUUAUCCGUAAGGAGAAGCUCUUGAUCGAAGCCCCGGUAAACGGCGGCCGUAACUAUAACGGUCCUAAGGUAGCGAAAUUCCUUGUCGGGUAAGUUCCGACCUGCACGAAUGGCGUAAUGAUGGCCAGGCUGUCUCCACCCGAGACUCAGUGAAAUUGAACUCGCUGUGAAGAUGCAGUGUACCCGCGGCAAGACGGAAAGACCCCGUGAACCUUUACUAUAGCUUGACACUGAACAUUGAGCCUUGAUGUGUAGGAUAGGUGGGAGGCUUUGAAGCGUGGACGCCAGUCUGCGUGGAGCCAACCUUGAAAUACCACCCUUUAAUGUUUGAUGUUCUAACGUUGGCCCCUGACCGGGGUUGCGGACAGUGUCUGGUGGGUAGUUUGACUGGGGCGGUCUCCUCCCAAAGCGUAACGGAGGAGCACGAAGGUUAGCUAAUCCUGGUCGGACAUCAGGAGGUUAGUGCAAUGGCAUAAGCUAGCUUGACUGCGAGCGUGACGGCGCGAGCAGGUGCGAAAGCAGGUCAUAGUGAUCCGGUGGUUCUGAAUGGAAGGGCCAUCGCUCAACGGAUAAAAGGUACUCCGGGGAUAACAGGCUGAUACCGCCCAAGAGUUCAUAUCGACGGCGGUGUUUGGCACCUCGAUGUCGGCUCAUCACAUCCUGGGGCUGAAGUAGGUCCCAAGGGUAUGGCUGUUCGCCAUUUAAAGUGGUACGCGAGCUGGGUUUAGAACGUCGUGAGACAGUUCGGUCCCUAUCUGCCGUGGGCGCUGGAGAAUUGAGGGGGGCUGCUCCUAGUACGAGAGGACCGGAGUGGACGCAUCACUGGUGUUCGGGUUGUCAUGCCAAUGGCACUGCCCGGUAGCUAAAUGCGGAAGAGAUAAGUGCUGAAAGCAUCUAAGCACGAAACUUGCCCCGAGAUGAGUUCUCCCUGAGACUUUAAGUCUCCUGAAGGAACGUUGAAGACGACGACGUUGAUAGGCCGGGUGUGUAAGCGCAGCGAUGCGUUGAGCUAACCGGUACUAAUGAACCGUGAGGCUUAACCUUACAACGCCGAAG
RNAcentral lists this ribosomal RNA (2923 nucleotides) under Klebsiella pneumoniae. RNAcentral's name for it is "bacterial LSU rRNA". It matches the Rfam family "Bacterial large subunit ribosomal RNA". Lineage: Bacteria; Pseudomonadati; Pseudomonadota; Gammaproteobacteria; Enterobacterales; Enterobacteriaceae. The record is from RNAcentral.